RNAcentral lists this non-coding RNA (24 nucleotides) under Mus musculus (house mouse). Lineage: Eukaryota; Metazoa; Chordata; Mammalia; Rodentia; Muridae. The record is from RNAcentral.
UGGAUGUUCUAUGAGAAGCAGUCA